Long non-coding RNA from Hibiscus syriacus, 214 nucleotides. RefSeq lists it as uncharacterized. Lineage: Eukaryota; Viridiplantae; Streptophyta; Magnoliopsida; Malvales; Malvaceae. The record is from RefSeq and is a predicted model, not a curated record. The transcript is spliced from 2 exons.
AAAGCAUUGAAUUGAAUGAAAGGGAAAACCCAGAUAAUAAAACCAAUAAAAAAAACCCAAUCAGACCCAAUAAAAAACCCAGAUAAUAAAGCAACAACCUUGAAGAACAGAGCAGCAAAUUUAUGAAAAGAGGUGGAAUAACAAAGAAAAGGGGUUGGAUUUCAGAGCAGAGUCAUCGUGUUCAUGUAGAGAUGAGUCAUCUAAACAGUCAUCA